Molecule: long non-coding RNA, 215 nt
Filed under: Musa acuminata (dwarf banana)
Lineage: Eukaryota; Viridiplantae; Streptophyta; Magnoliopsida; Zingiberales; Musaceae
Description: long non-coding RNA (MACU_LNC010148)
Source: RNAcentral
GGUUCUUCUCAUCUACUCUUUGUGUGUAUUAUUAUUAUUAUUGUUGUUGUUGUUGUUGUUGUUGUUGUUGUUGUUGUUGUUAUUGAACACGUAAAUCUUAAUUCUUUUCUUGUAAACACCGAACUGGUUACAACAAUACCAAAACGAGGGCGACAACUAAGCUUACGAACAUAUAGUAAAAAAUUUGAGAUUUUAAAUUUUAAUAUUUAAUAAGU